This 716-nucleotide ribosomal RNA is filed under the name Thalassiosira minuscula. RNAcentral describes it as "partial Bacterial large subunit ribosomal RNA". It matches the Rfam family "Bacterial large subunit ribosomal RNA", at positions 805 to 1468 of the family's 2925-position model. The record is from RNAcentral. Lineage: Eukaryota; Bacillariophyta; Thalassiosirophyceae; Thalassiosirales; Thalassiosiraceae.
UGAGCUGUGCCUAGGGGUGAAAGGCCAAUCAAACUCGGAGAUAGCUGGUUCUCUGCGAAAUCUAUUUAGGUAGAGCGUCAUCCGAAUACCCCCGGGGGUAGAGCACUGGAUGGGUAAUGGGGCCCCACAGGCUUACUGAUCCUAACCAAACUCCGAAUACCGGGGAGUACUAGAUGGCAGACACACGGCGAAUGCUAACGUCCGUCGUGAAGAGGGAAACAACCCUGACCUACAGCUAAGGCCCCUAAUUCAUGGCUAAGUGGGAAAGCAGGUGGGACGACCAAAACAACCAGGAGGUUGGCUUAGAAGCAGCCAUCCUUUAAAGAUAGCGUAACAGCUCACUGGUCUAAAUAAGUUGUCCUGCGGCGAAGAUGUAACGGGGCUCAAGCCAUGAGCCGAAGCUUAGGAUGCAUUAAUUGCAUGGUAGCAGAGCGUAGUGUGACAUAGUUCCAUGUCUCCUUAGCCCUUCGGGGUAUUGGAGACGCGGAGCUUUCUGUGAAGCCGGCGCGUGAGCGAUCCGGUGGAGAGAUCACUAGUGAGAAUGAUGACAUGAGUAGCGACAAAGAGUGUGAGAGACACUCUCGCCGAAAGUCCAAGGGUUCCUGCUUAAAGCUAAUCUGAGCAGGGUAAGCCGACCCCUAAGGCGAGGCCGAAAGGCGUAGUCGAUGGGAACCAGGUUAAUAUUCCUGGGCCAGAUGGAAGUGACGGAUCUCGAG